This 253-nucleotide ribosomal RNA is filed under the name uncultured bacterium. RNAcentral's name for it is "partial 16S ribosomal RNA". It matches the Rfam family "Bacterial small subunit ribosomal RNA", at positions 524 to 776 of the family's 1533-position model. The record is from RNAcentral.
UACGUAGGGAGCAAGCGUUGUCCGGAAUCAUUGGGCGUAAAGCGCGCGUAGGUGGCCACAUAAGUCCGUUGUGAAAGUCAAAGGCUCAACCUUUGAAAGCCGAUGGAUACUGUGUGGCUAGAGUACGGAAGAGGUGAGUGGAAUUCCUGGUGUAGCGGUGGAAUGCGCAGAUAUCAGGAGGAACACCAAUAGCGAAGGCAGCUCGCUGGGACGUUACUGACACUGAGGCGCGAAAGCGUGGGGAGCGAACAGG